This 253-nucleotide ribosomal RNA is filed under the name uncultured bacterium. RNAcentral's name for it is "partial 16S ribosomal RNA". It matches the Rfam family "Bacterial small subunit ribosomal RNA", at positions 524 to 776 of the family's 1533-position model. The record is from RNAcentral.
UACAGAGGUCUCAAGCGUUGUUCGGAAUCACUGGGCGUAAAGGGUGCGUAGGCCGCACGGUAAGUCAGAGGUGAAAUCCCGGAGCUCAACUUCGGAAUUGCCUCCGAUACUGCCGUGCUUGAGGACUGGAGAGGAGAUUGGAAUUCACAGUGGAGCAGUGAAAUGCGUAGAUAUUGUGAGGAGCACUAGUGGCGAAGGCGAAUCUCUGGACAGUUCCUGACGCUGAGGCACGAAGGCCAGGGGAGCAAACGGG